Pelmatolapia mariae (spotted tilapia) is the source of this 315-nucleotide long non-coding RNA. RefSeq lists it as uncharacterized. The record is from RefSeq and is a predicted model, not a curated record. The transcript has 3 exons. Lineage: Eukaryota; Metazoa; Chordata; Actinopteri; Cichliformes; Cichlidae.
CUCCACCGUAGGUGGAGGUGUGGAUGUAGGUGGUCUGUGUCUGUGUUGUGUUUCUACUGGUGUUACUGGUUCUGCUGGUGAGACGAUGUGUUCACAGGAAAUCUGAAGUAGAUCAAGAAGAAGCUGCAGAAGAUGACAUCAUCACUCAUGUCAUGUACUGCUACAUCAAAGCAUCAAAUUGUAAAGAACGGCCAAUCAGAAAACACAGAGGAAACAACAAACAUUAAACCACAGAAACAGCAGCAGCAUCAUUUAGUGUUGGAGAGAGAAGAGUUUCUGUCUUUGUCCUCUAAAUUACCCAGAAACCAACUGAUG